UUUUAUUUCAUAGAAGAAAAUUUGUUACUAUUAAUUUCUAAAUUUAUAUUUUUGUUAAUAUUGAUGAUAGAUAUGGACAAUAAUAUUAUAGAAGAUUUUCUCUCGCAUCGAAGAUUAGAAUUUAAGUAUAAUGAAGAAAAUCAUACUGUGAGCUUUGAAGAAGUAUUGCAAGAUGAUAGCAAAGAUAUUGAAGCUAGCAUUGGAAGUGAGAAAAAUAUCAAAAUGAUCCAUGCAUGUAUUCGUGAUGAAGUGAUACCUAAGGUUUUCGUGGAACAGAUAAACGAGAUGUUAAUAUGAAACGCCAUCGUGCUGAAACAA
Long non-coding RNA from Humulus lupulus (European hop), 318 nucleotides. RefSeq lists it as uncharacterized. The record is from RefSeq and is a predicted model, not a curated record. The transcript has 2 exons. Lineage: Eukaryota; Viridiplantae; Streptophyta; Magnoliopsida; Rosales; Cannabaceae.